GACUCUCGGCAACGGAUAUCUCGGCUUUCGCAUCGAUGAAGAACGUAACAAAAUGCGAUACUUGGUGUGAAUUGCUUAAUCUCGUGAACCAUCGAGUCUUUGAACGCAAGUUGCGCCCCAAGCCAUUAGACCGAGGGCACGUCUGCCUGGGUGUCA
RNAcentral lists this ribosomal RNA (156 nucleotides) under Gossypium hirsutum (cotton). Its description in RNAcentral is "5.8S ribosomal RNA". It matches the Rfam family "5.8S ribosomal RNA". From Rfam's summary of the family: 5.8S ribosomal RNA (5.8S rRNA) is a component of the large subunit of the eukaryotic ribosome. It is transcribed by RNA polymerase I as part of the 45S precursor that also contains 18S and 28S rRNA. Lineage: Eukaryota; Viridiplantae; Streptophyta; Magnoliopsida; Malvales; Malvaceae. The record is from Rfam by way of RNAcentral.